RNAcentral lists this non-coding RNA (33 nucleotides) under unclassified sequences. The record is from RNAcentral.
CUUUGAACUAUAGGUAGUUCAAGGCGGAAGGAG